GUUUUUGUUUUAGUGUAAACUCGAAGCACUCGCUUUGUCUUCCCUCCUGGUUUCCCCACCAUCAUCCUCUGUGAGUGACAUACCUGCAUUUCCAUUCCAGGAAUCUUUCCAAGAAAUACCAACCGAAGAAGAACUCGAAGGAGGAGGACGAGUACAAGUACACGUCCUGCAAGGCCUUCCUCUCCACCCUGAACGAGAUGAACGACUACGCGGGGCAGCACGAGCUCAUCUCGGAGAACAUGACGGCGCAGAUCAUGGUGGACCUGGCUCGCUACGUGCAGGAGCUAAAACAGGAGAGGAAAUCGAACUUCCAUGACGGGCGGAAGGCACAGCAGCACAUAGAGACCUGCUGGAAGCAGCUCGAGGCAAGCAAGAGGCGGUUUGAGCGUGACUGCAAAGAGGCCGACCGAGCCCAGCAGUACUUCGAGAAGAUGGACGCCGACAUCAACGUCACCAAGGCCGACGUGGAGAAGGCCCGGCAGCAGGCGCAGGUGCGGCACCAGAUGGCAGAGGACAGCAAAGCCGACUACUCCUCGGUCCUGCAGAAGUUCAACCAGGAGCAGCACGCGUACUACCACGCCCACAUCCCCGGCAUCUUCCAGAAAAUACAAGAGAUGGAGGAGAGGCGGAUCGUGCGGCUGGGGGAGUCCAUGAAGAUGUACGCCGAGGUGGACCGGCAGGUCAUGCCCAUCAUCGGGAAGUGCCUGGACGGCAUCGUGAAGGCAGCCGAGUCCAUCGACCAGAAAAACGACUCCCAGCUGGUCGUCGAAGCUUACAAGUCCGGCUUCGAGCCGCCGGGCGACGUGGAGUUCGAGGAUUAUUCCCAGCCCAUGCAGCGCGCCGUGUCCGACCACAGCCUGUCCAGCUCGCGCGGGGAGGGCAAAGCGGAGCCCAAGUUCGCGGGCAAAUCCAAGGGGAAGCUCUGGCCGUUCAUCAAGAAAAAUAAGCUUGUGUCCCUUUUAACAUCCCCCCGUCAGCCUCCCCCCCCGCCCCCUGCCUCUGCCUCCCCCUCUGCUGUUCCCAACGGCCCCCAGUCUCCCAAGCAGCCAAAGGAACCCCUCUCCCAUCGCUUCAACGAGUUCAUGACCUCCAAACCCAAAAUCCACUGCUUCAGGAGCCUAAAGCGUGGGCUUUCUCUCAAACUGGGCGCCACGCCGGAGGACUUCAGCAACCUCCCACCCGAGCAGAGGCGGAAGAAGCUGCAGCAGAAGGUCGAUGAGCUCAACAAGGACAUCCAGAAGGAGGUGGACCAGAGAGACGCCAUCACAAAGAUGAAGGACGUGUACCUGAGGAACCCUCAGAUGGGGGACCCGGCCAGUCUGGACCACAAACUGGCGGAAGUCAGCCACAACAUCGAAAAGCUGCGGCUGGAGGCGCAGAAAUUCGAGGCCUGGCUGGCGGAGGUGGAAGGGCGGCUGCCGGCCCGCAGGCAGAGCGGGCUGUACGACAGCCAGACGGCCCCGGCUGUCAACAACUGCGUGCAGGACCGCGAGAGCAGCCCAGAUGGCAGCUACACGGAGGAGCAGAGCCAGGAGAGCGAGGCCAAGGUGCUGGCCCCAGACUUCGACGACGAGUUUGACGACGAGGAGCCACUGCCCGCCAUCGGCACCUGCAAGGCGCUGUACACGUUCGAAGGCCAGAACGAAGGGACCAUCUCCGUGGCCGAAGGAGAGACGCUGUACGUCAUUGAGGAGGACAAAGGCGACGGCUGGACCCGCAUUCGGAGGAGCGAGGACGAGGAGGGCUAUGUCCCCACUUCCUACGUCCAAGUCUAUUUGGACAAAAAUGCCAAAGGUGCUAAGACUUAUAUUUAAUACCGCUUACACACACACACUUAAAGCCGUUGGCGCUGUCUGUCCCACGCUGUGGCUGCUCGGGGCAGUUCUGGGCGAGGCCGGAAGGAGAGCACCUCCCAGUGGACGGCAGGUGCCGCCCGCCUGCCCUUGCUUGUCUCGUGUCGCUGUAGUCGCCUCACUCGCUGUGAGAUCGCGCGUGGAAGGCGCCCGCCGCUGCCGACUCAGCUCUGCCGUGAAAUCUGAUAAGCGCUUCUUCCUGUGUGGGCGGCGCAGACCGCUGCAUCCCAGCCUCCGGUCAGUGUUGGAGUGGCAGCAUCCACGUGCGUCCCCCGGGGUGCUCCGUGGCUCGCGUCCGCCAUACUGCCUGGGGCUCUAGGAUGUCACGUCUUGUAGCUUAAUAAACUGGACCAUGCUAGCCGGCUGAGUGCUACAAUCGUUCACUCGGGAGGAAGUCAUAAAGCUAAGAAAAGCCAUCUCCCCCUCCUUGGGUUCGAGUGCUGGUACCGGAAGUGUGCCUCUUUCUUGGACGGGGCCAGCCCCGCAGCUGAGAGCGUCCAGGGGCGCUGGACGCCUGUCUGAUCCCAAGCAACCCACCGCAAGCUGGCCAGCUUUGCGCCAGUAUCUGGAGUAGGGGGAGGGAUUCGACACAGCUGUUCUGGGUGCCCUGGCUCCGCCCAUCGCAGCCGAACCCCUGCCGUCAGCCUCGGCGCCCUCUGUGCUGCUGGCGGCCCCGCGGCAGGUGCAGCGCCCACGCAGGUGGGGCCUGGACAGAACUCCGGGAGGCGGAGACCCCAGAUGCACCGGAGCUUUGCAGAUGUUUUCCUGUGUGUGUCUUCUUUUUAAUCAUUAGCCCAUUUCAGACUCAGCGCUUGCAUCUCCUGGGGAGUGUUUUAGAAUUUCUGGCUCCUUCGUAAGAUGAACCGGAGCCAGAACCAAGUUGACAGAGUCUCACCGGCUCCCGAGGGGUCUGGGCCACGCAGCACCGGUGUGGGCAGGAGGGUGGAGGGCAGGCGGUGGAGCUGCCACGCCGCCACGCCCAGGCGAGGAUCCAGCCUCGGGUGGCAGAGGCAGCCGCGGGGCCCAGAAGGCUUGCGCGAAGCGUCGGCUCUCAUCUGGCUCUGGAAGCUGUUAGCUCACGUUCUCUCUGCCCGCAAGUAGGAAAGAGGCUCCCGGCCUCCGCCUGCGGGCUCUGCCCCAAGUUCAAAGUCCUUUUUUUUUUUUUUUUUUUUUUAAGAUUUAUUUGAAAGAAUUACAGAGAGGCAGGGAAAGAGGGAGGGGGGGAGAGAGAGAGAGAGAGAGGUAGGUAGGUAGGUAGGUAGGUCUUCCAUCUGCUGGUUCACUCCCCAAAUGGCCACAAACAGCCGGAGCUGCGCCGAUCCAGAGCCAGGAGCCAGGAGCUUCUUCCGGGUCUCCCAUGCAGGUGCAGAGGGCAAGGACUUGGUCCAUCUUCUACUGCUUUCCCAGGCCAUAACAGAGAGCUGGAUUGGAAGUGGAGCAGCUGGGAUUCGAACCAGCACCCAUAGGGGAUGUGGGCACUGCAGGUGGCAGGCAGCUCCACCCACUGCACCACAGCGCCGGCCCCCAAAGUCCUGUCAAAGCGACAGCUGCACAUGCAGCCGGGGAGGCGCCUGGCGCCCGAGUCUGGGUUCUGAGGCUGCCCAGGAGUCUGGGAGGGUUCCACGAGAGCCGCAGGCGCGGAACAGAGUCGCCUCCUGCUACUGCCGGCCGCUUCUUCUUUUCUUCUCUUUUUAAACACUUUAUUUGGAAAUAACGGCAGCUCUCGGGAAGCCACACACACCGUAGGUUCCUGUGUGCUCCCCCCAGGGUCGCAGGGCCACAGCUCCCGCAGGUGGAGGACAACAGCUGGACUUUUGAAGGGCGGGGUCACUUCGCGAUUCUCGGUUGCGCCUGUGCCACCACAGCGCGGCCAGAGCCACUCCUGCUGACCGAGCCCCUUGGGGAGCUUCAUCCAGGUCCCCUCCGUGAGGAGGGCAGCGGCCACCCCCCCAGGGAGGGGACCAGCUCUAGGUGCAAGCGAACAAGUGAAACAGCCCGCAGUGGGCCGGCACAGCCGCCCCGCCAGGCCUGCUCUGGAAGGCGUGGGGUCUGGAAUCCAGGGUUGGCGUGGUGUUUCUCACAAGCGCUGUGCACAUUGCGUUUCUGGAGAGCUGAGGUGCGGGGCUGGGGCUGGGGGCUUUGUCACAGUGUUGGUCGCUGGGUCGCAGCCUCGGGACCCGCGACAGCCGCCCGGGACAGGGAUCUGGUAGCUCCAGUGGGUGCCAAGCCACGCGCAGCCAUGGAAACGGCCCCACGAAACCUCCGUCUCCACCGGAAGCACGCUUUUUUUCCUCCAACAGUUUUCUGUUAAAUAAAAGAAACAAAACCGCGGCUGUUUACAGAAACCGCUCUGUGGAUUGAGAGGUGCGCUGGCCGGUGGCCAAGGGGACAGGGUGGGGGCCUGGCCCGAGCCCCGCCCCCUGCCCAGGAGGGGCUGCUGUUCUCGCUUGGUGCAUGUGUGUGUACGUGCGUGUGUUGUGUGCGCAUUGUGUGUGUGUCUACAGUGUGCUUAGUUAACGAUUGCCAAAAUAUUUAGAGUCACUUCCCGCUGGUCAGCCAGACGUGGCCUGGUGUGGCGUGGCUUGUGUUUCUUAAAUGGCCUUCGGUUCAGCUGCACCCACCCCCACCCCCACCCGUACCACCGAGAGACUGAAGGGGAUCCCUGGCGUGGGUCGCGCGGACGGCUCACUCUUCCGUUUGUCUCCUGGGUGACUGCCGGCUGCUGGCCCCCGGUCUCCGCGCUGGCGGGUCCCCUGCCACGGCUCCACGCCGGAGCGCACGGCUGGCGCUGUUCUGAAUCCCUAAACGUGGUGCCCGCGAGUCACAGCCUCGGGUGAGCCUUCUCGGAGGGACGGCGGGGUCUCUCCGUCCCCCCAGGCCCCAGCGCCCGCGCCAGUCUCCACCCACAGCCGCCUGCCGCCCCCUCCUCCUCUCUCCACAGCGCCGCCCCUGGGGCCUCGGCUGUGUCCCUCUGGGGGGCCCCAGUCCACCCUGGGCUUGCCCCGGCCCACCCCCACCCCUUGCAUUUCACACUGUGCCUUUUGUGGGAACCCCGCCGCUGGUCUCCUGGGGACGAGGGGGGCUGGACGCACACGGGGGCGGAGUAGCCCAGGCCGGCUGUUUACGUUAGCAAACUUACCCUCCCCCACGCCUGGUGAGUAUCCCGCCCUCCUCUGGGCCUGGGCUCCCGCUGGGCGCUUGGUGCUGGCCCUCUGGCCCUGUUCCGGCCCGGAGCACCUGCGUGGGCGCUGGGCGUGAAGCCCUGGUUCAGAGGCCCGGGAGCGGCCGCACUGGACAUCGCGGUCCAGCUCCCGGCGACCUGCUUCCUGGCUGGUCUGCCUCUCCCAGGAGCAUCCGGCCUGCUCGCCCCCACCAGGCAUGGUCUCCCCGUUGCAAAGUGAGGUUCCUCCUCCAGCGAGCCCCAGUGCCAGCAUCCUGGGGCUUCGGCAAGGGCACCUCCGUGUGACCCCGUGGCCACCACUCCUGCAUCCCACCCCCACCCCACCCCGGGCCCUGUAGAAUUAGGGGGGCCGCUUCCCUUCCCCUGUGGGUCUUUGGCGGGGUCCCUGGCCCUGCUGCAGGGGGCUUCUCCCCUGCUGGGGGCAGAACUGGCCAGAGGAGCCCCCCCACACACACACACCCCGCACUGGAAGCCGAGGGUGGGGCCGGCAUCUUCAUUCUUCUGUUUGUCCUUGUAACCGUGGCGACCAUGGCUGCCUCCCGCGCCCUGAGUCUAAGACUUCGCGGAGCUGACGGGGCAGGAGCAGCGCCCACAGCGCCCGGGGAGACAGGAGGAAGUGGCUUUGGGUUUCAGCAGUGAGCCUGCGGGCGCUGAAACUGCGGAGAGACCUCAGGGCUUCUUCCGGGGCCCUGCCGUGGCGGCCUCGCUGUGUCACGUGCAGCAGUCACUCGCGAGGCCAAACCCACACCGGCAGGUCUGAGGGUGACGGCCAAGGCCCGGCUGCUGUCCCUGCGGAGCAGCAGGUGCACGGCGACCACGCUGCUGCCGGCAGCGCCACGAAGGGCUCCGCCCCCCCCCCCCCCCCACACACACCAGGGAUGCUGAGUGGGUCCUGGAAGCUUCGGCACUGCACGGCGUGCGUGCACCUCAUCUCGAGGGCCGGGACCGACACAGCCCUCGGCCGCCGCCGCCGCUCGUCCUGCCCGUCGGUCAGACCGGUGCAGCGUAGCCUGUGCCCUCUCCUGGCCCCAGGCCGCCUUUGGUUCAUUCGCUUCGGGUCAUCUGGACCCCACCCUCCAAAAAAGCGAGCGGGUCUCUGGCGCUGGCUCGUGGCUGGGGGGGAGGGGGCCGAGCCCCUGGGCUGGGCGUAGGACGGUGGAGAUGCAGCGCUCGCUCCGGGAAUCCUACUGUGAACUCUGCCCAGGAGCGGCUCACGCAGCCCAGGCGCGUGGGGCUCCCCGUGACCACCUCCCUCCUCCGUGUACCUGCCGCCUGUCUGUCCGCCCGUCGUCCCCAGCGCUGUGAGAAUGACGACCUUGAAAGGAACCUGCCCUGGGACUGAGCUGAACACAAGACGAAGGGGAGGACUUGUGCCCGGUUUUUCCUUUGCAGGAUGAGAAAAAAAAAAUUUUUUUUCCAAGGCAUGGGAAGCUGUGAUGGGAUCCUCCAGUGGUUCUCAGCUGGGCUCACCCUGGACAGGAGCCCGUGGCUGCUGGGACUCGCGUGGCGCAGAGCCCCCGACGCUUUGGGGAACAUCUGGGACGAUGAAGUUUACACAACAUAGAGGUUAUGUUCCUACUAAGUAUUUUUCCAGAAAGUUCCGUCUGGCUUGCCUCCUAUGCUUAGGUCAUCUAAAAACUGUCUAAAAAAAGACCCAGAAUUCCAUGUUAACCUGUGUUGAGCACCUUCGGACGCCUGUGUGUGUCGGGGGCGGCCCCACUGGCCCACUCCCACUGUCGUUGGAGGCGGAGGAAACCAGUACAGUGCUUCCCAGGGGGCCGCUGCCGACUGUGUGUUAAUCCACGUGUUCAAUAAAAGAUAACGUCUGUCCUAGGA
Molecule: non-coding RNA, 6870 nt
Organism: Oryctolagus cuniculus (rabbit)
Lineage: Eukaryota; Metazoa; Chordata; Mammalia; Lagomorpha; Leporidae
Source: RefSeq, a predicted model, not a curated record